CCCUUAGAGUUUGAUCCUGGCUCAGGACGAACGCUGGCGGCGUGCUUAACACAUGCAAGUCAAGGGGGCCCAGCAAUGGGCAACCGGCGAACGGGUGCGUAACACGUGAGCAACCUACCGAAAUGCGGGGGAUAGCCGGCCUAACGGCCGAGUAAUACCGCAUACGCUCUUAGUGAGGCAUUUCAUUGAGAGGAAACCUACGGGGUAUUUCGAGGGGCUCGCGGCCUAUCAGCUAGUUGGCGAGGUAACGGCUCACCAAGGCAACGACGGGUAGCUGGUCUGAGAGGAUGGCCAGCCACAUUGGGACUGAGAUACGGCCCAGACUCCUACGGGAGGCAGCAGUGGGGAAUCUUGCGCAAUGGCCUAACGGCUGACGCAGCGACGCCGCGUGUGGGAUGAAGCUCCUCGGAGUGUAAACCACUGUUGCCCGGGACGAAUAGCUCGAUUAAUCGAGCCUGACGGUACCGGGUGAGGAAGCACCGGCUAACUCCGUGCCAGCAGCCGCGGUAAUACGGGGGGUGCGAGCGUUGUCCGGAAUCACUGGGCGUAAAGGGCGCGUAGGUGGUUUGAUAAGGGUGUGGUGAAAGUCCGGGGCUCAACCCCCGGAUCUGCCGUGCCGACUGUCAAACUCGAGGACUGUAGAGGCAGACGGAAUUCCGGGUGUAGCGGUGGAAUGCGUAGAGAUCCGGAGGAAGACCGGUGGCGAAAGCGGUCUGCUGGGCAGUUUCUGACACUGAGCGCGACAGCGUGGGGAGCAA
RNAcentral lists this ribosomal RNA (758 nucleotides) under uncultured bacterium. RNAcentral's name for it is "bacterial SSU rRNA". It matches the Rfam family "Bacterial small subunit ribosomal RNA", at positions 1 to 771 of the family's 1533-position model. The record is from RNAcentral.